Molecule: long non-coding RNA, 1005 nt
Organism: Bubalus bubalis (water buffalo)
Lineage: Eukaryota; Metazoa; Chordata; Mammalia; Artiodactyla; Bovidae
Exons: 2
Source: RefSeq, a predicted model, not a curated record
UGUUUUAAUUGUUCAAAUGCAGAGCCAGGUAGUGCUUCCUAUCACUGUGUGGUCAGAUUGUUAACAGUGGUGCUGUCAUCAGCACAUCAUUAUUGUGUCUGAGCCGUGUGUGUGCAAGCCUCUUAGUGACUCAGACUGAUCUCAUCAGUGUAGGCCAGGGGGGAUACUGCUAAAGACAAAGACUGCAUCCAGUAGAGGAAGAGACAAAGAAAGCUAGCUUUUGAGUCAACAUUAAUGUCUACAGUCUCUCAGCCGGGGAAAGCCCAGAGUGUCUCCAUGGCCAAAGCCAAGCAAAUAGAAUUUUUACGAAGGGACAAGAUGGCUCUGGGCAUGAGUCAUGGCUGUACGCUGGGAAGAUUCCGAUGGGAACCUUGCUCUUGCUGGUUGAUCCAUACCUUACAUGGACUUGAGGCCGUGCAUGGCUUUUAUUAACAUGUGCAUUUUGCUUGUUAAGGCUCAAGCUUCAUCUUUUCCUUCCCAACUGGAGCACUGUUUGUAUUUCACAUGCACCUGAUUCAAAAUCUAUCCUUGGAACUCAGAGUGGCUUGGGAAUAGUCAUUUGGAAAAGCUCUGAUUAUUUGUCAGCUAAAACAGGAUGAUGUGUUCUCAGUUGAGGUUGGGAAAUAGGCUCUCUGCAGGGGAGCAGAUUCAAAUGCAAGCCAAGUUCUAAUUCUUUUCACAUCUCUAUCUCCAUGGGGCAGCUUUGGUGCAAAUCAAAAUUGUCCCCAGGUCAAGAAACCUAUAAACCACAACACAGCCCUGUACUUUUCUCAACUGCAGAAGGAGUUGUUUUACAUGUAGCCUUCAGAUGUCAUUUUCCCAGUGAAAAAUCUGUGUGCCAAAGCAGAUGUUCCUGGAAGCAAUACCAGAAUCUUUCAGGAGCCAAGGUGAACGAACUGUAAGAUUGAUUAUUGAAGUUUUCUAGGUUAAAACCAUUUCUGUCAUUGUCCUUGGCACUGAUUCUCAAAAUGUGUUCUAUAGCCUUGCUUCUCAGACUUGACAUGU